GGCCCAGGUUCUGCUCCCUGACACGCAGAGGCCCUGCGUCCCCACACGCCUUGGUUCUCGUCAGGAGGCGCGUUUCUGCCUUCGCCAGGGGAAGGAGGCGAUUGUGAUGCCCACGCGAAGGGUAAAGGUGGCGGUUAUGUAGGACUGCGAAGACUAUGCAAAAUGCGAUACGGUUUCCCUCACAGCCACGCCGCUGGGCAGGGGAGGGCCCAGGCCCCCUGAGUCGCGAAGGCGCGGCCUGACAGCGAUUCCAAGCUUCCUUUCCGUUCUGGGCGGUGGGGCCAGUGUGAGCCAGGUAGGAGAUGACGGUGAUAGUCUAGGAGGUGAUGAUUAGUAGGCGAGGCAAGUGGAAGAAGGUAGGUGAUGACAGACCUGAUGUUAGGAGGGACCUUGGGGAGGCCAGUCUGGCCAUUGAAAGUGACGGAAAACACUUUGAGAUGGAGGAAGGGGAAGAGAGGGAAUGAGUGGAAUGGGAAAGUGCUGGGAUGGCUGGGGAUCUGGAGGACACGCACAACAUCCGCGUAUGGCAGCCAAAUGGGGUGGAGUUAGGGCUUGCCAUAAAACUUGCCUUAAAUGCAAAAAUGCAGCUCAAUCCAUGACUGAGCAAGACUGGUAGGUCAGAAUCAUGCACAGGCUUAAAUCACACAGGAACAGAGCCUUCCCCAUUUUCAGGGGAUCUGAGGCAGCGAGGAGGCCAUAAGGCCAGUAAUAUUUUACUUUCAAUCAUGAUAACUAAACGUUUCGUGAUCAUUUUGGUCUCUAAACUACUUUGAUUUAGGGAAUAGAGUGUUCUGGAUAGCAGACAAAUGUCUACCAUAUACCCUAGUCAAUAUUAAGGUAUUAAUAAUUAAUGUUAAGGUAUUGAUUCUUUCUUGUACAUUAAGAAAUAGACAUUCUUUUUAUAGUCUUUUGUGAGUUUGGUUAGUUUGCAUUAAUCUCCCAGUGGUUAAUUACCUUGGUCUAACUGCUUCAAAUCUAGUUCCUGAACCUUAAUAAUUGAGAACCAGACCUGAGGUCUAGUUAUGUCUUUGAAUAGAAUUAUUUGGUCAAUUCAAGAUGUGAGUCUUAAUGUAGCAAUUAGCUCUAUCCUUAUCUGUGACCAAGUUGUGAGAAACCUUGUCCCAUUUUGGUACCUCUAUAGGCUAUAAGAGACUCUGAUGAACUUCUUUUGUAUGGGGGUAGAUUCAAUUUUGUUGGGCCUGAGGCUCAAAAACAAAAGCGCAAAACUAUUUUACUUUUGCAAUUUUAUAAUCAUAUGCAACCAUAUAACCUUUUAAGGCCCCUUCAUGCAAGAGGCCUAGAAGCUUAAACGGUCCGUUCAUACCUCACAGGGAACCAAAGGAUAAAGACUGAAAAUACUGGAUUUGGCAAACAAGUGAUGCUUUAGAAAACAAUUUCAGCCAGAUGCCGUGGCUUAUGCCUGUAAUCCCAGCACUUUGGGAGGCCGAGGUGGGCGGAUCACCUGAGGUCAGGAGUUCAAGACCAGCCAGGCCAACAUGGUGAAACCCCGUCUCUACUAAAACUACAAAAAUUAGCUGGGCAUGGUUGUGGGCGCCUGUAAUCUCAGCUACUUGGGAGGCUGAGGUAGAAUUGCUUGAUUCCCCGAGAGGCUGAGGUUGCAGUGAACCAAGUGCACCACUGCACACCAGCCUGGGUGACACAGUGAGACUCUGUCUCAAAAAAAUAAAAA
This is a long non-coding RNA of Macaca fascicularis (crab-eating macaque), 1690 nucleotides long. Lineage: Eukaryota; Metazoa; Chordata; Mammalia; Primates; Cercopithecidae. The record is from Ensembl.